This 521-nucleotide ribosomal RNA is filed under the name Escherichia coli. RNAcentral's name for it is "bacterial SSU rRNA". It matches the Rfam family "Bacterial small subunit ribosomal RNA", at positions 1024 to 1533 of the family's 1533-position model. The record is from RNAcentral. Lineage: Bacteria; Pseudomonadati; Pseudomonadota; Gammaproteobacteria; Enterobacterales; Enterobacteriaceae.
GAACCGUGAGACAGGUGCUGCAUGGCUGUCGUCAGCUCGUGUUGUGAAAUGUUGGGUUAAGUCCCGCAACGAGCGCAACCCUUAUCCUUUGUUGCCAGCGGUCCGGCCGGGAACUCAAAGGAGACUGCCAGUGAUAAACUGGAGGAAGGUGGGGAUGACGUCAAGUCAUCAUGGCCCUUACGACCAGGGCUACACACGUGCUACAAUGGCGCAUACAAAGAGAAGCGACCUCGCGAGAGCAAGCGGACCUCAUAAAGUGCGUCGUAGUCCGGAUUGGAGUCUGCAACUCGACUUCAUGAAGUCGGAAUCGCUAGUAAUCGUGGAUCAGAAUGCCACGGUGAAUACGUUCCCGGGCCUUGUACACACCGCCCGUCACACCAUGGGAGUGGGUUGCAAAAGAAGUAGGUAGCUUAACCUUCGGGAGGGCGCUUACCACUUUGUGAUUCAUGACUGGGGUGAAGUCGUAACAAGGUAACCGUAGGGGAACCUGCGGUUGGAUCACCUCCUUACCUUAAAGAAGC